AGUGAACGCUGGCGGCAGGCCUAACACAUGCAAGUCGAGCGGCAGCGCGUCCGACCACCCUCGGGGUGGUCGGAUGGCGGCGAGCGGCGGACGGGUGAGGAAUGCAUCGGAAUCUGCCUCGUUGUGGGGGAUAACGUAGGGAAACUUACGCUAAUACCGCAUACGACCUACGGGGUGAAAGUGGGGGGACCCUUCGGGGCCUCACGCGAUGAGAUGAGCCGAUGCCGGAUUAGCUAGUUGGCGGGGUAAAGGCCCACCAAGGCGACGAUCCGUAGCUGGUCUGAGAGGAUGAUCAGCCACACUGGAACUGAGACACGGUCCAGACUCCUACGGGAGGCAGCAGUGGGGAAUAUUGGACAAUGGGGGCAACCCCUGAUCCAGCCAUACCGCGUGAGUGAAGAAGGCCUUCGGGUUGUAAAGCUCUUUCGGCAGGAACGAAACGGUGAAGGCUAAUAACCUUUACUAAUGACGGUACCUGAAGAAGAAGCACCGGCUAACUACGUG
Molecule: ribosomal RNA, 504 nt
Filed under: uncultured bacterium
Lineage: Bacteria
Description: bacterial SSU rRNA
Rfam family: Bacterial small subunit ribosomal RNA
Source: RNAcentral